UUCUUCAGUGCCAAGGAAUCAUGGAGAUCUUGGAUUCCUCCCCACAGAGGAAUUGGUGGGGGGGAACAGUCUAAAGCAGAACCUAAGCUCUGUUAUCAGAGAAAUGCCUCUGUCCUCAGCCCAGAUGUCUCUUCUUCCCCGAGAUGGCAUACAUUCCUGAUAAGUGACAUUAACUUUGCUACAUGACAGUUCAGUUGGUCUGUAGUGAAAUACUUCACAACCUGUUUAUACAAACUCUAAGGGAAAACAGUUCGUGGACUAAUGUGCCACCUUGAAUCUACUCCCUUGUGUUUACAAUUGAGACCAAGGUUGUUUGUCUUGCUGAGUUCCACCUGCAGAAACUCCAUCUCCAGCGACUGCGGCAUUGAUCCUCUCUUCCCUUGACUUUUCCAUCUCUUCUGGUUGCUUAGAAAUUCUGCUACAUGAGUAAGUUCUAUGAGGAGAGUGUCCUGAUGAGAGGUUUUACUUGUGUCAUCGGCACUGUGGUUUCUGAACAGCCCAGUCAGUAAAGGCUGCGUCCAUGGCAUGUUGUGCCCACACUGCUUACACCCCUCCGCGCCGAUCUUCCUGUUGGCCUGGCAGCUGUUUAUUGUAACACUAAAUCGUGACCUGGAUUUCUGACUUGAGGAUCUGUGUUAUGAGAAAUUCCGGAUUUGGGACAUGACUUUAACUGCAGGAACGAACGUAUUAUUUUUAUCAUUGCAUUUAUGCCCAUGAACCUUUUAAAGUGCAUCAAAUUUAGCAGCCAAGAAAGACUGUUUAUAAAAAGAGGAGAAUGAACAUGGACUCUUGUCCACUGGGACCCCCAAAUGGAUAAAAUAAUCUCAUAUUUCUCUACAUCAAAGAGCACAAAACAGAAAUGUGUCCCCCUCACUGAAACUCUUGGGAUGUAGCUCACCGUGAGAAACUUUUCCUAAUAUUCUGAAGCUCUGUGAGCCUUGUUUGUCUUUUAUGUAUCCUGCAUGAUUCUGUGAGUUUUACACAUAAAGAUACAGGUUUUGAGGGGCCUGAUGCUUCUUUGAUUUCUGGGGCUCUCUUUAAGAAAAAGAAAAUUAAAUUAUGAAUAUAAGUUUCUAGGUACUGGGGUAGAAAGAAGCCCUAAAAUCAAAGCCUAAUAUGCUUCAUGGUAAAUCUGCAUUUGGAGUUCCAUAGAGAUCAUCUUCUUUAAGACUGAAAUAUUAUGAUAGUCUCAGUUUGUCCUGAUAGUGGGAGGUUCCCUAACCCCCCGUCUGCUUUUCCACAGCAGCACUAGAAUCGCUUUAGCCAUCAUUAAUAUGAGUAUUUUCACCUCCAUCAUAAAAAAAUAGCAUUAUUGGGAUAUAAUUCACAUACCUUAAACUGCAUCUUUUAAGACUGUAAUCCAGUGGUUUUAGAAUAUUCAGUUAUCCAAUCAUUAUUGUGAUCUAAUUCCAGAACAUUUUUACCACCUCACAAAGAAACUCUGUGCCCACAAGCAGUCACCCCCAUUAUUUUCUUAUCCUAAUCACAAAUUAAAUAAAAAUAUAGAUUUAUGAAGAAUUAUAACCCAAAAUUUUGAUGAACCCAGUCUUAUGUAAAUAUAGGACCUUUCAUGAACCUUAUCUAGAGGGAUGAAACAUCAGUCCUGAUAUUUAAGACUGCAAGGAGUUUCAUGACUGUGAUGCAAAGGACAAAGGCCAGUGGAGACUGAGCUCUGCUGGUAUUUCAAUAGGAUUUCUAUUGUUUUUGGUAAUGCUCUGGUUACAAAUUAUAUAUUUUUGGGUUUUUCCCUAUUCUAAUCUCCACCAUAAUUAAUGUGUGUGAAUUGGACUAACAGGGGGAUUUUCAGGAACACACAUAUUGAGUUAUAACAGAAACUGCUGUAUCUGAGCAGUGAGCAGAAUUUUUGGAAUUUAUUUUUGUUUACACACAAAAAAUAUGCACGCAAAUAAGCAUGUAUGUAUUUUUCUCUGCUGUUACUUGACGUAGCAAACACUGAACAGAUUUGGUGACUCAGGAGAUAUGAUGUGAAAUCAUUUAUUAACAAUAAACUAUUUCUUAUAUAACUUUUGCUGGAUUCCGUGACUGGCAAAGUAGUAACAAAGAUUGAGACAAAAGUUUUGCCUUCCUUCUAGAGAGUGAAAACUCUGUGUGGUUUUUGCACCUUGAUUUUAUCUAGAGAAAAAGAUGUACGUAAGACCAAAAGGUGCAUAACUACAUCAUCCAAUGUAUUCACUAUGGUUCAUAAUAAAUUGUAAGUCUCACAUUUUCCAUCAAAGAUGAAUUAACUAACCAUAAUUCAACUUUACCACUGUAUAUUUCUAGUCCAGUAAGUUAUAUUGAGACAAAAUUGGAACUUAGGACGGUUUAGAAUCUUCCAUCUUACAUAGGAAGCAUGUGACAUGGUACAGUCAAACUCAUCAUAUAUCUGCUAACUGUACUUCCUGUAAAAGGCAGAAGCAUCACACAGCCCAGUAACUUUGCUAGUACCUCUUGAGUGCAAAGUGUAGAAUUAAGAUCUGGAUUUGAGACCCAGCACGGAACAUUUCACUUGGGAAGAGCUAUGAACAUGCUGACUGCUAGCCUGCUGAGGGCAGUCAUAGCCUCCAUCUGUCUUGGAUCCAGCAUGGCCCAGAAAGUAACUCAAGCUCAGACUGAAAUUUCCGUGGUGGAGAAGGAAGAUGUGACCUUGGACUGUGUGUAUGAAACCAGUGAUACUACUUACUACUUAUACUGGUACAAGCAACCACCAACUCGAGAAAUGAUUUUCCUUAUUCGUCAGAGCUCUUUUAAUGAGCAAAAUGAAAUCAAUGGUCGGUAUUCUUGUAACUUCCAGAGAUCCACCAGUUCCUUCAACCUCACCAUCACAGCCUCACAAGUCAUUGACUCAGCAGUGUAUUUCUGUGCUCUGAGUGAGGCCACAAUGAGAUGGGUGCCUGUGGGAGCCCUACAAAAACCUCAACAAGAGAUAGGGCCCCUGGGGAGAGACUCCAUCACACACAGGAAGAAGCAAGGAGGGGCUGUUCAGCACAGGUGGUUUGGCAAGGAAACCUGAGUUCAAUUCACGUCCAAUGUCUAGAUAUAUCAUUUAUUAGAAGCAUGUGUAUCUUCCAUUCUUUAGAAUAGAGACAGAAUAUAUAGUUCAUAUUUUUAUAUCACACAUAGAAUUAUGCAACAAAAGGUGCAAUAACAAUGUAUUCAUCUUGUGUUGCUUUUGUUAAGGGUGGAAAAUUAUCCAAUUAUCUUCAGACUAAAUGGAUGAUUCCGUUGAUAAGCUGUUAAGUUUCCAGAAUCAUUCAUACAUUUAUGCAUUAAUUGUUAUUUAGAAUUCUUUAAUCUAAAUAUCUGUAAUAUAAAGUUAUAUAAAUAUCUGUCAUUGAUUUUUCUUAAGAAUGGUGUCAUUACUCAAUGAGGUAGAAAAAUUAAAUUUAGAUUUCUUUCC
Non-coding RNA from Sapajus apella (tufted capuchin), 3400 nucleotides. The record is from the annotation of a RefSeq genome assembly. Lineage: Eukaryota; Metazoa; Chordata; Mammalia; Primates; Cebidae.